RNAcentral lists this microRNA (22 nucleotides) under Monodelphis domestica (gray short-tailed opossum). Its description in RNAcentral is "mdo-miR-7385i-2-3p". Lineage: Eukaryota; Metazoa; Chordata; Mammalia; Didelphimorphia; Didelphidae. The record is from miRBase by way of RNAcentral.
GAACACAGGCUAUCCGACCUGG